UACAGAGGUCUCAAGCGUUGUUCGGAUUCAUUGGGCGUAAAGGGUGCGUAGGCGGCGCGGUAAGUCGGGUGUGAAAUUUCGAGGCUUAACUUCGAAACUGCAUUCGAUACUGCCGGGCUAGAGUCCGGAAGAGGCGAGUGGAAUUCCUGGUGUAGCGGUGGAAUGCGCAGAUAUCAGGAGGAACACCAAUGGCGAAGGCAGCUCGCUGGGACGGUACUGACGCUGAGGCGCGAAAGCGUGGGGAGCGAACAGG
Molecule: ribosomal RNA, 253 nt
Filed under: uncultured bacterium
Lineage: Bacteria
Description: partial 16S ribosomal RNA
Rfam family: Bacterial small subunit ribosomal RNA
Source: RNAcentral